RNAcentral lists this long non-coding RNA (485 nucleotides) under Brassica napus (rape). RNAcentral's name for it is "long non-coding RNA (BNAP_LNC018755)". Lineage: Eukaryota; Viridiplantae; Streptophyta; Magnoliopsida; Brassicales; Brassicaceae. The record is from RNAcentral.
CAUUCUUGCUAGAUUGGACACUCUAUUGUCUAGCUAUAGGUGGGGGGUGAGAGUUGUGAUUAUGAUUUGGGAGCAAUGAAAAAGGAAAAGAAAUGACUCUUUGUGUUUAAGUGAAUUGUCUUAUUGGGAUAAGAAGAAAAACCUCUAGCUCAAGUUAUGAAAAGUCUUGGCCCCCAUCUAAAAAAAUAAAUAAAUAAAAAAAAAAUAUAUAUAUAUAUAAAAAGAAAAGAAAAAGGGGGCUAGCAAAGUUGUUAGGAGCUAAGUAAUGUUUUGAGGUUGUGGAAAAUCCCUUGUAGAUUUCAAAGAGAAGGAGUUAAAGUUCUUAAGAUCUUUUGGUGAGAGAUGUGAGUUGGGUUUGACAUUUGGGAAAGAUUGUGUAAUUGUAUGAUUGGGAAAAGGGUAGAACAAUGGAGAUUGAGCAUUGUAUGCAUGAGUUGAUCCAUUUCUUAGAUAUAUUAUGUGCAAUGUCAAGGCUACUUGUUUUG